GACUAUAUUCCUUCUUCAAGUUCUGGGGAAAAAUCUGUGUUCUUCACUUUUUCAGGUUCUAGAAGUUACAAGUAGUUCUUCAUUCAUGAACAUUGAUUCCACCAGUGAAGCAUCUUUAGGUAAAACAAUGAACAUUCCAAAAGGUGCAUGAUAAGUUAUUUACAAUACCCACUAAAGGCAAGAAGCAGUAUGAAUGAUGGGCUCCAUUUUUCACAAGAGCAAAUAAGUCACGUUGAUGUUUUAUGACUUACUCAUGGCACAGAUCAGCAGCGACCAAGGAAGCAAGCUGGCAGCCCCAUAACUACUUACAGAUUCCUGAACAUACCAAACUCAACAGCAGGCAUGGUAAUAAAUCACUGAGAGUUAAGAACAA
Non-coding RNA from Ictidomys tridecemlineatus (thirteen-lined ground squirrel), 373 nucleotides. NCBI's taxonomy places the organism in Eukaryota, Metazoa, Chordata, Mammalia, Rodentia, Sciuridae. The record is from RefSeq and is a predicted model, not a curated record.